GUGCUUGCUUCAGCAGCACACAUUCUAAAAUUGGAAUGAUACAGAGAUUAACAUGGUUCCUUUGCAAGGAUGACAUGAAAAUUAAUGAAGUGUUUCAUAUUUUC
Molecule: small nuclear RNA, 104 nt
Organism: Cavia porcellus (domestic guinea pig)
Lineage: Eukaryota; Metazoa; Chordata; Mammalia; Rodentia; Caviidae
Source: Ensembl